RNAcentral lists this small RNA (187 nucleotides) under Nocardia terpenica. RNAcentral's name for it is "c-di-AMP sequence". It matches the Rfam family "c-di-AMP riboswitch aptamer (ydaO/yuaA leader)". Rfam says of the family: This family represents a conserved RNA structure found upstream of the ydaO and yuaA genes in Bacillus subtilis and related genes in other bacteria. The ydaO/yuaA element is thought to act as a genetic "off" switch for the ydaO and yuaA genes in its native state. It is believed that the element may be triggered during osmotic shock leading to activation of ydaO, a predicted amino acid transporter gene, and members of the yuaA-yubG operon which code for KtrA and KtrB K+ transporters. Lineage: Bacteria; Bacillati; Actinomycetota; Actinomycetes; Mycobacteriales; Nocardiaceae. The record is from RNAcentral.
UACCGGACCCCGACGCAGACCAGGGGCGAGGGCGGGGAACCCACGUUCCCUACGCAGGGAAGCGGGAACGGUCGGAAACGAACGCUCCCUUGGGGUGAAGUCCCGUGGCGGCCCCACCGCACCGGGACCGGACGGCCUCUCAGUCCGAACCCGACAGCUCACCUCGCAGGCGCGUACGAGAGGGAGU